Molecule: ribosomal RNA, 253 nt
Filed under: uncultured bacterium
Lineage: Bacteria
Description: partial 16S ribosomal RNA
Rfam family: Bacterial small subunit ribosomal RNA
Source: RNAcentral
UACGGGGGGGGCAAGCGUUGUUCGGAAUUACUGGGCGUAAAGGGCUCGUAGGUGGCCAACUAAGUCAGACGUGAAAUCCCUCGGCUUAACCGGGGAACUGCGUCUGAUACUGGAUGGCUAGAGUUUGGGAGAGGGAUGCGGAAUUCCAGGUGUAGCGGUGAAAUGCGUAGAUAUCUGGAGGAACACCGGUGGUGAAGGCGGCAUCCUGGACCAACACUGACGCUGAGGAGCGAAAGCCAGGGGAGCAAACGGG